This 464-nucleotide ribosomal RNA is filed under the name Vreelandella stevensii. RNAcentral's name for it is "partial 16S ribosomal RNA". It matches the Rfam family "Bacterial small subunit ribosomal RNA", at positions 338 to 795 of the family's 1533-position model. Lineage: Bacteria; Pseudomonadati; Pseudomonadota; Gammaproteobacteria; Oceanospirillales; Halomonadaceae. The record is from RNAcentral.
CCUACGGGUGGCUGCAGUGGGGAAUAUUGGACAAUGGGCGAAAGCCUGAUCCAGCCAUGCCGCGUGUGUGAAGAAGGCCUUCGGGUUGUAAAGCACUUUCAGUGGGGAAGAAAGCCUUGGGGCUAAUACCCUCGAGGAAGGACAUCACCCACAGAAGAAGCACCGGCUAACUCCGUGCCAGCAGCCGCGGUGAUACGGAGGGUGCGAGCGUUAAUCGGAAUUACUGGGCGUAAAGCGCGCGUAGGCGGUCUGAUAAGCCGGUUGUGAAAGCCCCGGGCUCAACCUGGGAACGGCAUCCGGAACUGUCAGGCUAGAGUGCAGGAGAGGAAGGUAGAAUUCCCGGUGUAGCGGUGAAAUGCGUAGAGAUCGGGAGGAAUACCAGUGGCGAAGGCGGCCUUCUGGACUGACACUGACGCUGAGGUGCGAAAGCGUGGGUAGCAAACAGGAUUAGAUCCCCGGUAGUC